GAUAAAGAAAAGAAAAGCUCCCUGACCUAUACAGCCAUGUGCUAUGGGGGUGAUGGCCAGUCCUGGUGUCUGAGUGAUU
Molecule: small nucleolar RNA, 79 nt
Organism: Nycticebus coucang (slow loris)
Lineage: Eukaryota; Metazoa; Chordata; Mammalia; Primates; Lorisidae
Product: small nucleolar RNA SNORD86
Exons: 1
Source: RefSeq, a predicted model, not a curated record